GACGAACGCUGGCGGCGUGCUUAACACAUGCAAGUCGAACGGAAAGGCCCUGCUUGCAGGGUACUCGAGUGGCGAACGGGUGAGUAACACGUGGGUGAUCUGCCCUGCACUUCGGGAUAGGCCUGUUAAACUGGGUCUAAUACCUGAUAGGAGCCAUUUUUAGUGGGAUGGUUGGAAAGUUUUUGCGGUUUAGGAUGAGCUCGCGGCCUAUCAGCUUGUUGGUGGGGUAAUGGCCUACCAAGGCGGCGACGGGUAGCCGGCCUGAGAGGGUGGACGGCCACAUUGGGACUGAGAUACGGCCCAGACUCCUACGGGAGGCAGCAGUGGGGAAUAUUGAACAAUGGGCGCAAGCCUGAUGCAGAGACGCCGCGUGGCGGAUGACGGCCUUCGGGUUGUAAACUACUUUCGCUAGGGACGAAGCUUUUUGUGACGGUACCUAGAUAAGAAGCCCCGGCUAACUACGUG
RNAcentral lists this ribosomal RNA (465 nucleotides) under uncultured bacterium. RNAcentral describes it as "partial 16S ribosomal RNA". It matches the Rfam family "Bacterial small subunit ribosomal RNA", at positions 28 to 507 of the family's 1533-position model. The record is from RNAcentral.